GGUCUGGACCACGAGUGCCUACCUCGGGAGAAGAUGGAGAAGAAGAAUCCUCAAACAGAAAAUUCUGUGGAGAAACUGGCAUCAUUUCGCUCGAUACCAUGUUGAAGACGCGGAGUGACUAACGCUCUGUUUCCCCCUCCGCGGGGAACCCGCACGCACAAAGGCACAUAAAGGCGACGCCACAGUGGAGUAAUGCUGGGCGUGAGGAUGACACGAGAACUCCCACUGACCAGCCGUGCACGGAGACACACAACCCUUCAGCCCGGCGUGUACGUCAGGUCGGUUGUAGCUCCUCCCAGAUGGACCCCGCCCCUUUCUUCAGUUCACCUGUCUGUUACAGCUAUCUGAGCUUAGUCAUUAUUGGGUCUCUAUUUAGGGAGAUGCUUCUGGGUGUUCUGCGUUGGUGGGUUUUCUCUAGUUCUGUUUACACUUCAGAUAUUCGUUUCAUGUUUGUUGUUCCUCCCUGAUCCAUGGUUCCCUCUUCUUUACAACAUUGUAAUCAUAGGAAGGCAAGACACGCUGUUCAUCUGUUGCUGAGCAAAAAAAAAGAAAGCCUACUUUAAAUAUUGUUUCAUAGACAAUUUCAAUUCAAUCCAACAUGUUUAAGGUAUGACAUUUAUAUUGAAUAACACCCCAUUGUAGUUUGUGUGACAUGAGCUCAGUAAAACACAAUCGCCAGCUGUUCAGACAGCUGAUACAAUUACAACAGCAACAGCGUGAACAAUCAGUCUAUGCAGGUUGAUCCAGUUCACUGGAAACCCUGAAGACACCUGAUUUUUGUUAUUGUCCCUUCUUUAAAUCCACAUGAGCAACUGAAUCUUGUCCUGUAGGUUAUGUUGAUUACA
Long non-coding RNA from Oryzias melastigma (Indian medaka), 845 nucleotides. RefSeq lists it as uncharacterized. Lineage: Eukaryota; Metazoa; Chordata; Actinopteri; Beloniformes; Adrianichthyidae. The record is from RefSeq and is a predicted model, not a curated record. The transcript has 3 exons.